This is a long non-coding RNA of Amblyraja radiata (thorny skate), 687 nucleotides long. RefSeq lists it as uncharacterized. The record is from RefSeq and is a predicted model, not a curated record. The transcript is spliced from 4 exons. Lineage: Eukaryota; Metazoa; Chordata; Chondrichthyes; Rajiformes; Rajidae.
UAGAAAAAAACUGACAUGCUACUGGUGUUGUUCAAUAAUGUGCUGAGGUGUUUCCAUAAAUAUCCGUUUGGGAGAAGUUAUCUAUCUCAGCCUCGCCGGGGUUUGUAUCCGUUUGUUUCUUACUCUGUCUGUUUGUGUUUAGACUGGGAGGCAACGACCUGGGAGAUUCUGGAGUGAAACUGGUGUCUGCGGCUCUGAGGAACCCGGACUGUAAAAUACAGAGACUGAGGCUGUACAGUGUCGGUCUCACAGAUUCUGGAGCCGAGGAUCUCGUCUCCGCUCUCAGUACAAACCACACGGUGACGUGGCUGUGGCUGAGUGAUAAUAAACUUGGAGAUUCUGGAGUGAAACUGGUGUCUGCGGCUCUGAGGAACCCGGACUGUAAAAUACAGAGACUGUGGCUGAGCCGUGUCGGUCUCACAGAUUCUGGAGCCGAGGAUCUCGUCUCCGCUCUCAGUACAAACCGCUCACUGACGGAGCUGGAGCUGAGAUACAACUCCCUCACAGACCGAUCUGUCCCCACUCUUCGCCACCUCAUACUGAACCAUCCGAGUCUGAAGCAGAUCAUGCUGGAGGGGAAUAAGUUCAGUCCGGGGAGAAGGAACUUAGGUCACUGCAGGAACCCGGACUGAGUGUGACCGUGUGAACAUCUCGUGGUUUAAACGUCACCGCCCUGGGGACCAGAAU